This 253-nucleotide ribosomal RNA is filed under the name uncultured bacterium. Its description in RNAcentral is "partial 16S ribosomal RNA". It matches the Rfam family "Bacterial small subunit ribosomal RNA", at positions 524 to 776 of the family's 1533-position model. The record is from RNAcentral.
UACAGAGGUCCCAAGCGUUGUUCGGAUUCACUGGGCGUAAAGGGUGCGUAGGUGGCCAGGCAAGUUUGGUGUGAAAGCUCGGAGCUUAACUCCGAAAUGUCAUUGAAUACUAUCUGGCUGGAGGGUCGGAGGGGAGACUGGAAUUCUCGGUGUAGCAGUGAAAUGCGUAGAUAUCGAGAGGAACACCAGUGGCGAAGGCGAGUCUCUGGACGACUCCUGACACUGAGGCACGAAAGCUAGGGGAGCAAACAGG